Molecule: long non-coding RNA, 1486 nt
Organism: Pseudophryne corroboree (corroboree frog)
Lineage: Eukaryota; Metazoa; Chordata; Amphibia; Anura; Myobatrachidae
Exons: 2
Source: RefSeq, a predicted model, not a curated record
CUAGAAGCUGAAAUGUUAAACAAAUCUCCGUUAGCUAUCCAUAUGUUUUUGAAAUGAAAACAAAUCACUACACAUGGAACACAUGUCAUUCACUGUUGCUUUCAACUAUUCUGCCUAGCAACAUCAUCACUCAUAGCUUAAAUACAUACAUAUGCCUGUAUGUGGCAAAUGUGUCUGGUUACUUAAUCGUGAAAGCAAACACUUUAGUUUUAUUGUAGCUCACACAUACUCCACAAUAAAAACACAUUGGAAUACAUAAUGUGUUACCUUAUAGCUUUGUUCAAACAAACAUAGUAAUGUUUUUAUAUGUAUUUUGCCAUGUUACCUCAAACACACAUGUGUAAUUUGGAAAAACAACCUUACUUUUUGCAAUAAAACCAACAUGCUUUUUUGUUGCAGCAUCUUACACACAAUGGCCCUCAUUCCGAGUUGAUCGGUCGCAAGGCGAAUUUAGCAGAGUUACACACGCUAAGCCUACGCCUACUGGGAGUGUAUCUUAGCUUCUUAAAUUUGCGACCGAUGUAUUCGCAUUAUUGCGAUCACAAACUACUUAGCAGUUUUAGAGUAGCUUCAACCUUACUCUGCCUGUGCGAUCAGUUCAGUGCUUGUCGUUCCUGGUUUGACGUCACAAACACACCCAGCGUUCGCCCAGACACUCCCCCGUUUCUCCGGCCACUCCUGCGUUUUUUCUGGAAACGGUAGCGUUUUCAGCCACACGCCCAUAAAACGCCGUGUUUCCGCCCAGUAACACCCAUUUCCUGUCAAUCACUCUACGAUCGCCGGAGCGAUGAAAAAGCCGUGAGUAAAAAUACUAUCUACAUAGCAAAGAUACUUGGCGCAGUCGCAGUGCGAAAAUUGCGCAUGCGCACUAAGCGGAAUUUCACUGCGAUGCGAUGAAAAAUACCGAGCGAACAACUCGGAAUGAGGGCCAAUGUCAUACUGUAUGGCUCAAGUGGACAUACAUAUCUUUACUGGAUGUGGACAAGGCCAUUUAGCUUGGAUUCCAUUUCAGCUUUUACUUACUGCGUUUGAUACUCACAAUCAAGAUGAGGGGAGUGUGGAUGACGUCUUGGAGGUGUGUCCAAAAUUUGGAGUGGGGGGACAGAACAUACGGACGAUAAUCUUCAUGGUGGGGUAGCCUGCUGUGGUUGGCCCGGGACAUACGACCUUGCUUUCUUUUCGGCCACAGGUUUUUUGUUGUGAUGUCUUACAGAAGUCCCACUUCUGCUGCUCCAUACUUCUUUUGAUGGACCUUUUAAUGAAAGUGCAAUUUUGUUAUGGCCAUUCCUUUACAAGCAUACCCUAUACAACAAUGGACACUUUACCUGCUUCUGCAGCAUCAUCAUCAUCAGAUGUGAUAGGAGUUACUGGCCGUCGAGUAGUACUGCUUUUUUCUAACACUGUAUAAAAUUAAAAAAAACUAUUUUAUCAUGCUAUUGUGUAUACAUCCACCCAUUAUGCUUAUAAACAUUUAUUCUUUUAGAAA